Molecule: ribosomal RNA, 472 nt
Filed under: uncultured bacterium
Lineage: Bacteria
Description: bacterial SSU rRNA
Rfam family: Bacterial small subunit ribosomal RNA
Source: RNAcentral
UGGGGAAUUUUGGACAAUGGGGGCAACCCUGAUCCAGCCAUGCCGCGUGAGUGAAGAAGGCCUUCGGGUUGUAAAGCUCUUUCGGACGGGACGAAAUGGUUAGCGUGAAUAACGCUGACUGAUGACGGUACCGUAAUAAGAAGCACCGGCUAACUACGUGCCAGCAGCCGCGGUAAUACGUAGGGUGCGAGCGUUAAUCGGAAUUACUGGGCGUAAAGCGUGCGCAGGCGGUUGUGUAAGUCAGAUGUGAAAUCCCCGGGCUCAACCUGGGAAUUGCAUUUGAGACUGCACGGCUAGAGUGUGUCAGAGGGGGGUAGAAUUCCACGUGUAGCAGUGAAAUGCGUAGAUAUGUGGAGGAAUACCGAUGGCGAAGGCAGCCCCCUGGGAUAACACUGACGCUCAUGCACGAAAGCGUGGGGAGCAAACAGGAUUAGAUACCCUUGUAGUCCCUGAGCGGGCUGGCAAGGCGCAU